GAUGUUGAUAGGCCGGGUGUGUAAGCGCAGCGAUGCGUUGAGCUAACCGGUACUAAUGAACCGUGAGGCUUAACCUUACAACGCCGAAG
RNAcentral lists this ribosomal RNA (89 nucleotides) under Klebsiella pneumoniae. Its description in RNAcentral is "partial 23S ribosomal RNA". The stretch from base 1 to 77 matches the Rfam family "Bacterial large subunit ribosomal RNA", at positions 2849 to 2925 of the family's 2925-position model. The record is from RNAcentral. RNAcentral also lists the same sequence under 1 other name. Lineage: Bacteria; Pseudomonadati; Pseudomonadota; Gammaproteobacteria; Enterobacterales; Enterobacteriaceae.